Molecule: ribosomal RNA, 433 nt
Filed under: uncultured bacterium
Lineage: Bacteria
Description: partial 16S ribosomal RNA
Rfam family: Bacterial small subunit ribosomal RNA
Source: RNAcentral
AACGAACGCUGGCGGCAUGCCUAACACAUGCAAGUCGAACGGGACCUUCGGGUCUAGUGGCGCACGGGUGCGUAACGCGUGUGAACCUGCCCUUAGGUUCGGAAUAACUCCCCGAAAGGGGUGCUAAUACCGGAUAAUGUCUUCGGACCAAAGAUUUAUCGCCUUUGGAUGGGCCCGCGUUGGAUUAGCUAGUUGGUAGGGUAAAAGCCUACCAAGGCGACGAUCCAUAGCUGGUCUGAGAGGAUGAUCAGCCACACUGGGACUGAGACACGGCCCAGACUCCUACGGGAGGCAGCAGUGGGGAAUAUUGGACAAUGGGCGAAAGCCUGAUCCAGCAAUGCCGCGUGAGUGAUGAAGGCCUUAGGGUUGUAAAGCUCUUUUACCCGGGAUGAUAAUGACAGUACCGGGAGAAUAAGCUCCGGCUAACUCCGUG